RNAcentral lists this ribosomal RNA (117 nucleotides) under Sinocyclocheilus grahami. The record is from RNAcentral. Lineage: Eukaryota; Metazoa; Chordata; Actinopteri; Cypriniformes; Cyprinidae.
GCCGGCAGCCAUAUCGCCCUGUAGCCCAAGACUGGUUGCCCACUGAAGCUAAGCAGGGCUGAGCCUGGUCAGUACCUGGAUGGGAGACCUCCUGGGAAAACUAGGUUGCUGCUGGAA